This 755-nucleotide long non-coding RNA is filed under the name Lupinus angustifolius (narrow-leaved blue lupine). RNAcentral's name for it is "long non-coding RNA (LANG_LNC000629)". Lineage: Eukaryota; Viridiplantae; Streptophyta; Magnoliopsida; Fabales; Fabaceae. The record is from RNAcentral.
AAUAAUGUGAGGUGUGCCGUAGAGUCAAUUUGGAUCACAAGUUUCUAAACAGUUCCUCGAUUAUCGGCUCCAAUUUGGUGUUUAAUUAGAUUGCAUUGUUAUGGACCAUUCUUUGGUAUAUGCAAUCUUAAUGUGGCUUUGAUAAAAAUCAAUCACAGAAGAAAAUAAACGUAAUCAAAGCAAGAAAGUCUCUUUUUCCCCAUGGAGCUAGAAACUUUCAAGGCUUCGUCAUUUUCAAAGAUCUUCUCUUGCUUCUCUGAAUCCUCACAAUCCAAAGGGCUUAUUGUUGUUUGUGAAGACGAUGUUUGUUAUUUGACGGAUAGGAAGAAAAAGAAAGACAAAGGAAAAGGAUCAAAAUGCAAGACAAUAAUUCAAAGAAGAAAAUGAUAAAAAGGUUCACAAACUUAUAUAUCCAAAGGAGAAAAUGGUAUCUAUUCCUUGCUGUUGUUUAGUUUCAUGUAAGCUUUUAAUUAUAAAUUGUGCCUGUAGUUGUGUUUAUCAUAAAUUAUAGAUUAUUAUGUAUAAAUGCGACUAAUAGGACCACUAUUGUACUUAUGAUGCACUUUCAAAGAUUACCUAAACUUUUACCAUUCUGAUCAAGGAUCGAAAUUUAAAAUAAUGUUUCGUUCUAAUUAGUAAACAAAUUCUGAAAUUGGCAUUUUUCUGUUUGUGUAAUGCUGAGAUUAGUAAAUUAACUCUGAUUCGAAUGAGAAUAAAAGUAGGUAAUUUUGUUUGAUGCUGAGAAUUGAAACCCA